RNAcentral lists this ribosomal RNA (355 nucleotides) under uncultured bacterium. RNAcentral's name for it is "bacterial SSU rRNA". It matches the Rfam family "Bacterial small subunit ribosomal RNA", at positions 8 to 350 of the family's 1533-position model. The record is from RNAcentral.
AGAGUUUGAUCCUGGCUCAGGAUGAACGCUAGCUACAGGCUUAACACAUGCAAGUCGAGGGGAAACGACAUCGAAAGCUUGCUUUUGAUGGGCGUCGACCGGCGCACGGGUGAGUAACGCGUAUCCAACCUGCCCAUCACUUGGGGAUAACCUUGCGAAAGUAAGACUAAUACCCAAUGACGUCUCUAGAAGACAUCUGAAAGAGAUUAAAGAUUUAUCGGUGAUGGAUGGGGAUGCGUCUGAUUAGCUUGGUUGGCGGGGUAACGGCCCACCAAGGCGACGAUCAGUAGGGGUUCUGAGAGGAACGGUCCCCCANAUUGGAACUGAGACACGGUCCAAACUCCUACGGGAGGCA